CGGAACCCUCCAGCAAUCUUCUCCCCUCUGCCUCCAGUGUGCCAACGAUAGGACGUCAGCGGCGAGGGCUGCGUUUGGGAAUCUUCAUUCUGCAGCGGUGGGUCCAUGGCGGAGUCUCUGCUACAAGACCAAAAGGUAGGCAUCCAAUAGACAUGGCCACCAACACGGCAACUAACAACUCCAUAUAACCCUAGCGUCCACUGUCAGCCGAACAAAUACUCCGCGUCAUCUCCACACCGAAGAGUAUCACAUAGCAAAGAAAAUGAAUACAUUCUUGAACUAAUGAUGGCGGACGAAUCACAGUGCUGAACAAAAGCAAAAACUAAGGAGUAUACCCUGGGUGAGUUCAUAUAUACAUUAUAGUGUCCCAAACCUUUCUGGGAGUGGUAACUACAUACACCCAAAAAUCUAGCACUUAUGAAUCUAAGGCGGGAGCUUUCUCAUGAGUUCCAGGGCAGCUAGGGUUCUCCUGCAAGACCCUGUUUCAAAGGAUAAAAAACAAAGAAAGGAAGAGAAAAGAAAAGAAAGAAAGAGAAAAAAAUGAAAGUAGUGGAAAGUUGAGAACCAAGCAUAUGAAGACACUGCACACCAUGGAAUUGGGGCUGGAGAGACACCUCGGUCGUGAAGUGUGUGGCCGUCCUUGCAGAGGACUGUUCAGCUCCUUAAAUCUGUGACAGAUACCAACUGCUUGGAACUCCAGCUCCAAGGGGUUUCAUGCUUCCUUUUACUGAAUCUUUUUAAAAAGUCAGGGAAUCAAUUUCACUCAGAGGGGUUAGUGGCUGAGUGAGGACAUACAGGAGACUUUUGGAAGAUGGCUUCUUUUGUUUUGUUUUGCUUUGUUUGAGAUGGGAUCUAUUGUGUCUAAGGAUGGUCUUGAACUUGGUACAUAGAUGGGGCUGGUCGAGAAUUUCUAUUCCUCCCGCCACUGUCUUCCAAGUGCUGGGAUUAUAGGUGUGCACCACAUAUCCAGCCUUUUUGUUUGUUUGUUAUUGGUUUUGUUUGGUUUAUUUCCCCCUUGAACCCAGGCUUUUAUUUGUGUGAUGAAGGCGUUAUCAACUGAUCUACACUUUCAGCUUACAUUUUUUUUUCCACACAAAGUUUCCAGGCUGGACUUGAACCUUUGACAUUGAUCUUCCUGUUUCAGUCUCCUGAAUGCUGGGAUCAAUCACCUUGACUAGUAUUUAAAAUGUACCCCUACUCUGUGUGUGUGUGUGUGUAGGGGUGUAGUGUAUUCAUGUGUGUGUGUGUGUGUGUGUAGGGGUGUAGUGUAUUCGUGUGUGUGUGUGUGUGUAGGGGUGUAGCGUAUUCGUGUGUGUGUGUGUGUAGGGGUGUAGCGUAUUCGUGUGUGUGUGUGUAGGGGUGUAGUGUAUUCGUGUGUGUGUGUGUAGGGGUGUAGUGUAUUUGUGUGUGUGUAGGGGUGUAGUGUAUUCAUGUGUGUGUGUGUAGGGGUGUAGUGUAUUCGUGUGUGUGUGUGUAGGGGUGUAGUGUAUUCAUGUGUGUGUGUGUGUGUGUGUGUGUGUGUAGGGGUGUAGUGUAUUCGUGUGUGAGAGGGUGUCCACAGAGGUCAGAAGCAUUGGAUUCUUCUGGAGCCGCAGUCGUGCAUGGAGUUUAUUUAGCUGCCUGAUAUAUUUGCUGGGAAUUAAUCUUGGACUUAGGAGUCUAUUUUCUUAAACACUGAACCAUUUUUUCAGGUCCCAUCCCAGAUUUAUUUUUAAGUGCAAGUAAAAUUCAUACAACAUAAAUUUAACAUGCUCUGUUUUUGAGUUUCAGAGCUGGUUGGGUGUGUUCUGUUGUGAAAUCUCUUUGAGGCGAGUUUUGGGGUGCUGUCCAGUCAGUAUCUUUUACAUUUUGAUAAAUGUUUACUUGAGAAAGAGGUGGGACCGUCAAGAUGGAUCUGUGGAUACAAGGUAGUUCCCCGAGACCCACAUGGCAGAAGGGGAUAACAGACUCUCACAAGUUGUCCUCAGACCCCUCCACUCUCAUGCACACGUGAUACGUGCAACAUACAAAAUAAAUAAAGUGCAAUGCAAAUUGAACAGAGAAGGAGUGGGUGGAUGCUCUGGCAGGAGUGAGUCAGCACUGUUCUCACCCAGGUUGGACUGCUGGCCAUCUCCUUUCUCGCUGUGACCUCAGACAAGUCAUUUCCUCUCCCCGCGCUUCCUCAUUUUUAAAGGAUGAUGGUAUCGGUCUCAAAAAGCUUCCAUUCAAGGGCUAGAGAGAUGGCUCUGAGGUUAAGCAAGAAAUGUCAUGGCAUGGGUGGCUCACAUCCAUCUGUAUGUCCAGCUCUGAGGUACCUGAAACCCUGUUCUAGCCGCUGAGUGUCUUUACACUGCACACUGCAAGGGUCUACAUCCAUACACAGACAUACACGAACAUUUCUGAAAGCUCACGUUGGAUACAUGUUUUCUGAGUGCCUACUGUACACUAGAUGAAAUGGAGGAAGAGAUUAAAUAAAUGUGAUUUCUGUCCUCCUGUUACCGUCUGGGGAGGGGGACAUGUCCUGAAUUCAGUGGGACAUUUUGAAUUUGUGUGGGAGACUGGGACAAGAUAGAUACACUGGAUGAAGGAUGACCAGUUGAGCGGAAAUGCCAUUCCUCUCAGGUUGGAAAAACCAGGGAAGACUUCUCCAGGGAGAUAACCUUUGCAAACCGAAGCAUGAGAAGAAAACAGAUGAUUGUGCCAGGUAGAAGGAAUGCUUUGCACAAAGGCAACGGCAACGAUAACCCGUGGGGCAAUGCACACAUGUAAUUCCCAGGACUCGGAAGACUAGUGCAAGAAAAUUGGUGUCACAUAUUUGAUGCCAACCUGGGAUGUAUAGUGGACUGUGUAUGUGGGGAGUUGGAGUCAUGAAGUGGAUAGGGUAAGCUGACUCCCUGGGUAUAGGGUGCGGGCAGUCACUAAAGGCCCAGGUUCAAAGGUUCAAAGCUCUCCUUACUAUGGUUGUCCUGAAACUCUUGCUUUGAAAAUGGGACGUUGCAAGGGAGAUGGCUCAGUGGUUAAGAGCACCGACUGCUCUUCCAGAGGUCCUGAGUUCAAAUUCCAGGAACCACAUGGUAACUCACAACCAUCUGUCAUGGGAUCUGAUGCUCUCUUCUGGUGUGUCUGAAGACAGCGACAGUGUACUUAUAUAUAAUAAACAAACACAUCUUUUUUUAAAAAAGAAAAAUGAACAUGCCUUUCAUCACAGCACUGUGAAGGCAGUGGCAGGAGGAAGCCAGCCUGGUCUACAAAGAGAGUUCCAGGACAGCCAGGGUUACACAGAGGAACCCUGCCACAAAAUCUGCCCCACCCCCACAAUCCUAUUAUGAAAAAUCUUAUUUUUCCCCUUUGGAAUUUCAUUUUGGAGGCUAGAAGUAUGCGUCAUUGUUAGGGCACUUGUCUCACAUGCACAGGGCCCUGGUUUAGCCCUGUACCGCAUGAACCUAGGUGUGGUGGCACAGGCCUGUAAUCUCAGUUGGUAGGGAGAAGCUCGGAGCUCAGAAAUUGGAGAUCCUCUGGAGCUACAUAGCGUGUUCAAGGCCAGCUUGGGCGACGUAAGCCCUACCCAAUAAAACAACGCCUCCUCCCCUGUAUAUUUCUACUUAUUUUAUUUGCCACAUCAUUAUACACUGGCUCUAUUCUCAGAUCUCUGCUUUUUCUUCCUCCUUUGCUAGGAAUGAAACUCCACACCAUAAACAUACCAUGAAAGUGGUCUACCACUGAGCCAUACCUGUGGCCCUAAAUAAUUAUUUUCUUCAUUUUAUUUUCUUUUAAUUUUUCUUCAUUCUAUUUAUUAUUCUUAUGUGUAACAGGUGUUUUGUUUCUUUGUCUCUCUGUAUGUGUUUAUGUGUACCACACAUGUGCCUGAUGCCCAUGGAGAUCAAAAAAAGGCACUGAGACCAGUGAUACAGACAAAGAUGGUUCUGACACACUAUGGGGGUGCUGGGAACUGAACCCAGAUACUCUGAAAGAGCAGUAAGUAUUCUUUUUGUUUUCUUUUUAAAAUUUAUUUAUGUGAGUAUGCUGUUGCUGUCUUCAGACACACCAGAAGAGGGCAUCGGAUCCCAUUACAGAUGGUCGUGAGCCACCAUGUGGUUGCUGGGAAUUGAACUCGACAUCUAGGAAGAGCAGUCAGUGCUCUUAGCUGCUGAGCCAUCUGUCCAGCCCCAAGCAGUAAGUAUUCUUAACAAUUGAGCCACAGCUCUAGGUCAAUAUGUGUGUGUGUGUGUGUGUGUGUAUAAAUUGUGUAUAUAUAUAUAUAUAUAUUGUAUACAUAUAUAAAAUAAACAUACACAUAUAUACAUAAAUAUGUAUACACACACAAGACACACAUACACAUACACAGACAUACACACACACAGACACACACACAUACACACAGACAGACAUACACAGACACAUACACACAUACACAGACAGACAUACACACACAUACAGACACACACAGACAUACACACACAGACAUACACACACAUACACGCACACAUACAGAGACACAGAGAGACACACACAUACACAUACACAGACACAGACAGACAUACACAUACACAUACAUACAGAGACACAGAGAGACACACAUACACAUACACAGACAUACACACACACAGACACACACACACAUA
Non-coding RNA from Rattus norvegicus (Norway rat), 4601 nucleotides. NCBI's taxonomy places the organism in Eukaryota, Metazoa, Chordata, Mammalia, Rodentia, Muridae. The record is from RefSeq and is a predicted model, not a curated record.